RNAcentral lists this ribosomal RNA (460 nucleotides) under uncultured bacterium. Its description in RNAcentral is "partial 16S ribosomal RNA". It matches the Rfam family "Bacterial small subunit ribosomal RNA", at positions 338 to 795 of the family's 1533-position model. The record is from RNAcentral.
CCUACGGGAGGCAGCAGUGAUGAAUAUUUGUCAAUGGACGAGAGUCUGAACCAGCCAAGUAGCGUGAAGGAUGACUGCCCUAUGGGUUGUAAACUUCUUUUAUAUGGGAAUAAAAUGUUCCACGUGUGGGAUUUUGUAUGUACCAUAUUAAUAAGGAUCGGCUAACUCCGUGACAGCAGCCGCGGUAAUACUGAGGAUCCGAGCGUUAUCCGGAUUUAUUGGGUUUAAAGGGAGCGUAGGUGGAGUGUUAAGUCAGUUGUGAAAGUUUGCGGCUCAACCGUAAAAUUGCAGUUGAAACUGGCAGUCGUGAGUACAGUAGAGGUGGGCGGAAUUCGUGGUGUAGCGGUGAAAUGCUUAGAUAUCACGAAGAACUCCGAUUGCGAAGGCAGCUCACUGGACUGCAACUGACACUGAGGCUCGAAAGUGUGGGUAUCAAACAGGAUUAGAUACCCCUGUAGUC